RNAcentral lists this long non-coding RNA (758 nucleotides) under Phoenix dactylifera (date palm). Its description in RNAcentral is "long non-coding RNA (PDAC_LNC018395)". The record is from RNAcentral. Lineage: Eukaryota; Viridiplantae; Streptophyta; Magnoliopsida; Arecales; Arecaceae.
GUCUGUUUUAGUCUAAAUAAAAUGUAGGUCGGUUUACAGGAUUAUUCUAUGUCAAGAAAGAUUAACUUUCAUUAUAUAUAAAUUCCCCCCUCUAAUGAUUAUUAAAAUAGCCACCUUCUAUUUCUUGCUAGACCUCUGUUUCUGCUGAUGGAGAAGGGUCUAAAAUUUGCUGAGCGAAUAGUUUGGGCGUCUGAUUUCUAGGAUUAAUUAGAAGCAUCCUAUAUAAAUAAAUAAACAAACAUCGAAGUGUGUAUGCUGUUUAGUUAAGAUUUAAGACUUCUAAAACACUAUCUUCUUUCUACCAACUUUAUUCAAAAUAAGAAAAUUUAAACUCUAUGCAUAUUCUUAUCCUCAGAUCCAUUUGCUAUGGUAUCUAAUAUAGUUUGGUAUUAAAAAUUUUGCAGGUCUUCGUAGCUGCGAUUACUAAAAGAAAGCAAGUCUGUCCAUCUAGCUCUGAAAUGCUUCGCCAGUGCCGAAACAAUGCACCUGAUCGCCUUGUAGUCGGUGGUGGCCUCCGACACACCGACAAAUUCAGGUCUGCAAUUCUAUAUAUAAUAUAAAUCCCUCAUAGAGCAGUGCCCACACCAACAAAGAUUAAGAGGUGUCCCUUGAAUUAUUUAAACCCACUGGUAUUAACAAUUGAAGACAGGAUAGUUUAGAUGUCACGAGCUCAGUUGCAUCCAUUUGGAUUUAGGGCUUUACUGCUCAUGCAGAUAGCUUUAGAAUAGGCUGCUCUCUCUCUCUCUCUCUCUCUCUCU